AGAUAGGUCAACGGCUCUACAUUCUGCAACCUCUCUCAUGUAUCAAAGAAGAAUACCUGACGUUGGUACAUAAGAGCUUCAUGAUUAUAAACUGUCCAGUCAGUCAACCUCCUUUCCUCUCUUCUCUUCUAGCAUCAGAAUGCCAUCAGGAUAUCUCCUUUGGGUCCAAUCUGGGAUGAAAAAUUCCAACAUCUCAACUUUAAACACAGGCAAGUAUUCAAGGGAAAAUGUAACCAAGAGAGCUAAUAUAUAGAACUGCAAAAAGACC
Molecule: long non-coding RNA, 268 nt
Filed under: Solanum lycopersicum (tomato)
Lineage: Eukaryota; Viridiplantae; Streptophyta; Magnoliopsida; Solanales; Solanaceae
Description: partial TCONS_00119230
Source: RNAcentral